This 253-nucleotide ribosomal RNA is filed under the name uncultured bacterium. RNAcentral describes it as "partial 16S ribosomal RNA". It matches the Rfam family "Bacterial small subunit ribosomal RNA", at positions 524 to 776 of the family's 1533-position model. The record is from RNAcentral.
UACGUAGGGGGCAAGCGUUGUCCGGAAUCAUUGGGCGUAAAGCGCGUGUAGGCGGCUCGAUAAGUCUGCUGUGAAAGUCCAGGGCUCAACCCUGGGAUGCCGGUGGAUACUGUCGAGCUCGAGUCCGGAAGAGGCGAGUGGAAUUCCUGGUGUAGCGGUGAAAUGCGCAGAUAUCAGGAGGAACACCAAUGGCGAAGGCAGCUCGCUGGGACGUGACUGACGCUGCGACGCGAAAGCGUGGGGAUCAAACAGG